AUGUCCAGCGCCGGCGACCCCGCCGGUGCGGCGGCCGCGGCGGCGCCCAACCCGUCGGUGCGCGCCCCGAGGCUGCCCCGCUGGACGCGGCAGGAGAUACUGGUGCUCAUCGAGGGCAAGCGCAUGGUUGAAGUCCGCGGCGGCGUGCGCGGCGGGAGGGGGCGCCUGGCGGCGGCGGCGGCGGCCGGGGCAACCGGGGAGGGGGCGGCGGCGGCGCUGGAGCCCAAGUGGGCCGCCGUCGCGGAGUACUGCCGGCGGCAUGGCGUGGAGAGGGGGGCCGUGCAGUGCCGGAAGCGGUGGAGCAACCUCGCUGGGGACUGGAAGAAGAUAAAGGAGUGGGAGCGGGCGGCCGCCGGCGCGCGGGAGCCCUCGUUCUGGGCCAUGCGCAACGACGCGAGGCGGGAGCGCCGGCUCCCUGGCUUCUUCGACCGCGAGGUGUACGGCAUACUCGAAGGUCGAGGUCGGGGGGUCGUCGCCGGCAGCAGCUCCGGUGGUGGUGCCGCCGUGGAGGAAGUAGGGGUGGUGCGCAUGGAGGAGGAUGAUGAUGAGGAGACGGGGGAGGAGGAAGAGGAGAGAGGGAAGGGGAAGGAGGUGGCAGUGGCAGUGGCAGUGGAGACCGUGUUUGACAGUGGCCGGCCCGCCGGGGAGGAGGUCCUCUUCUCGGAGGAGGAAGAUGCUGAGACGCCAGAGGCGACGCCGGCACCACCGCCGGCGGUCAUCGCCUUGCCGAUUUCCGAGAAUUCGGAGGCAUCAAGGCAACAGAGCGCACAGCAAGGCACAACAAAAGACAGGCAAGGAGGGCAUCAAGGCAGCACCAAGACAGGAGGCUCACCGACUCUGCAGCAGAGCGGGCAGAAGAGACAGCGAACCGGCAACGACAGUGAGCCCAGAGCAGAAGGCAUAGCAGACAAGCUGCUGGAGAUCCUAGAGCGGAACAGCCAGAUCAUGACGGCGCAGCUGGAGGCGCAGAACAUGAACUCGGAGCGCGACCGCGAGGAGAGGAGAGAGCAGGCCAACAGCCUCGCCGUGGUGCUCGGCAGGCUCGCCGAUGCUCUUGGCAGGAUCGCCGAUAAGCUCUAG
RNAcentral lists this ribosomal RNA (1080 nucleotides) under Triticum aestivum (bread wheat). RNAcentral describes it as "partial small subunit ribosomal RNA". The record is from RNAcentral. Lineage: Eukaryota; Viridiplantae; Streptophyta; Magnoliopsida; Poales; Poaceae.